RNAcentral lists this ribosomal RNA (396 nucleotides) under uncultured bacterium. RNAcentral describes it as "partial 16S ribosomal RNA". It matches the Rfam family "Bacterial small subunit ribosomal RNA", at positions 523 to 918 of the family's 1533-position model. The record is from RNAcentral.
AUACGUAGGGAGCGAGCGUUGUCCGGAAUUACUGGGUGUAAAGGGCGCGUAGGCGGGAGUGCAAGUCAGAUGUGAAAUACAUGGGCUCAACCCAUGGGCUGCAUUUGAAACUGCAUUUCUUGAGUGAAGUAGAGGUACGCGGAAUUCCUGGUGUAGCGGUGAAAUGCGUAGAUAUCAGGAGGAACACCGGUGGCGAAGGCGGCUUACUGGGCGAUUACUGACGCGGAGGCUCGAAAGCGGGGGGAGGAAACACGAUUAGAUACCCCAGUACUCCACGCUGUAAACGAUGAUUACUAGGUGUGGGGGGACACAGCCCUUCCGCGCCGGACUCAACCCAAUAACUAAUCACCCUGGGAAGUACGGCCGCAAGGUUGAAGCUCAAAUUAAUUGACGGAG